This 253-nucleotide ribosomal RNA is filed under the name uncultured bacterium. RNAcentral describes it as "partial 16S ribosomal RNA". It matches the Rfam family "Bacterial small subunit ribosomal RNA", at positions 524 to 776 of the family's 1533-position model. The record is from RNAcentral.
UACGUAGGCAGCGAGCGUUGUUCGGAGUUACUGGGCGUAAAGAGUGCGUAGGCGGUUUUCUAAGUUUGGUGUGAAAUCUCCCGGCUUAACUGGGAGGGUGCGCCGAAGACUGGAAGGCUUGAGUAUGGGAGAGGUAAGCGGAAUUCCUGGUGUAGCGGUGAAAUGCGUGGAUAUCAGGAGGAACACCUGCGGUGUAGACGGCUUACUGGACCAUAACUGACGCUGAGGCACGAAAGCGUGGGUAGCAAACAGG